This 253-nucleotide ribosomal RNA is filed under the name uncultured bacterium. RNAcentral's name for it is "partial 16S ribosomal RNA". It matches the Rfam family "Bacterial small subunit ribosomal RNA", at positions 524 to 776 of the family's 1533-position model. The record is from RNAcentral.
UACGAAGGGGGCUAGCGUUGCUCGGAAUCACUGGGCGUAAAGCGCACGUAGGCGGAUCUUUAAGUCAGGGGUGAAAUCCCAAGGCUCAACCUUGGAACUGCCUUUGAUACUGGGGAUCUCGAGUCCGGAAGAGGUUGGUGGAACUGCGAGUGUAGAGGUGAAAUUCGUAGAUAUCAAGCGGAACACCGGUGGCGAAGGCGGCCUUCUGGACAGUGACUGACGCUGAGACGCGAAAGCGUGGGGAGCAAACAGG